UAGGCAGUUCGGGCAUGGAGCCGGGCACAGGGGUGACGCCCAGGCCCUUCUCGUCUUUCUGUUCCGUUUUCUUCGGAGGUGGGCUUCGGCCUCUGGCGUGUGGCCUGGUGAUCCCCAGAUGGCUGCUCCAGCUCCAAGUCUGAGCUCCAGGAGACAGAAAGGAGACAAGCUCCGCACCUACUGCGGGUAGACUGUAACCUGCAAGUUCCAGAACAGGCUUCAGAUUCCAGCCCUGCUUCCGGCAGGUUUUGACUUCAAGACCAGAGGUGUCCUCAGGCUCCAGGAGGCUUUGCAUUGCAGAGAAGUACGUGGUAUCGGCCCAUUCCUGUGGCUCCUCUGUCAUCUCACACCCCCAGCGGCCUCGGAGGGCAGCUUGUGCCUGCUCCGGGCUCCACCGUACGCAUGCGUGAGAGGACUCUUCACCCAAGCAGAAUGUCUUGAAAGAACACGACAUAUAAAACAGAUGAGGCAGAGCUUCUCUCGUGGAAGCGAGGACACUUCUGAGCAUCACAUCCGUCGUAUCUCAUGGAUACCGUGACCUCUGCACCGCGCUGGGUUUUCCAUCUGCCAGUGGCCGCCAGAAAGCCGUCAAAUGAAGCUCCCCCCUUGGCUAGGCGCGGAGGUGGCGACAGUGGACACUCUCAUCCUCACUCCUGGCUCCUGGACAGUUGCACGGUGUUGGUUCUUUGGCAUUUUUCUGUUCACGAUCCUCUAAACGUUCCUGCGUGAAAAUAGCAGCUUGUGUGGGCCAGAGGGCACCACCGUCAACCCUUUCCCCUGUCCCAUUCUCAUCCUGCCAAUUCCUGCUCCGUGGUCAAAAACACAUGAGUGGCACCGAGGGAACCAGGAUCUGGCGACUACCUAGGCCCAAGACGACCUUGGGAAACAGCGAGUAAAGGAAUAGUGAUGAUAGCGAUGAUGGUACAAGAACAUCUAUUGAGCGGUCAGUCCUACGCAUCAAGGGUUUUGUACAUACGCGCUCACGGAACUGAAUGCUAUGCGUUAGGCACCAUUUUUAUUCUCAUCUUAAAGAUGAGGAAUCUGAGCUAAUCAAGCGGAGGAAAAAUUAGGGGCUCUGGAGCCGCGGAGACCACCCGGCAAGGCUGUGGCCACGCCCCUUGGCCAGGACUUGAUUGGCUAGAGAUUUGAUUGGCGGGCGAGCGGAGCCUGGGAGCCCGAAUGAAGAGGGCUGGCGUGCUUCCCGAGUGGCAACUUCUGUGCAUUUCAAAUUUCCUGAUUAAA
Molecule: long non-coding RNA, 1242 nt
Organism: Phyllostomus hastatus (greater spear-nosed bat)
Lineage: Eukaryota; Metazoa; Chordata; Mammalia; Chiroptera; Phyllostomidae
Exons: 7
Source: RefSeq, a predicted model, not a curated record